Molecule: long non-coding RNA, 4717 nt
Organism: Bubalus bubalis (water buffalo)
Lineage: Eukaryota; Metazoa; Chordata; Mammalia; Artiodactyla; Bovidae
Exons: 4
Source: RefSeq, a predicted model, not a curated record
CAAGUGGUCCCAGAUCAGCCAGCUAGUGGCGGAGAAGCCAGGAGGAAAAGUCAGAUUCCUGAUGCUGUAACUGGCGUUUCCCAGUCAUCAUUAUUAGCGUCGAUUUCCAGCUAUGGGGUAUGGUCCUUGGGGACCUCCCCUCCCCACCCCUGGGUCCCCCGCCAGGGCCUUCCUGCCCUACCCCUGUUUUGUCCUGGGGUGUGUACUCAGGUCAUGCUGGCCCUAUUUCCAAUCUAACACCAAUGCUGGGCCGUUAGAAGGUGGUCAGUAAGUACCUGCAGGUGAAUUAUUAAGAAAACCACUGUCUGCAGGAAUGGGCCUUGCAAAGAGCUGGUCCUCAAAAUUCAGUUGAGUGAAGGUGAGCAAGCCAUUCUUACCCACUGAAGGGGAAAUAAAGUCGGGUUAGCUGCUGUACCUCUUUCAUUAGAUAAGAGAUCAUUGCUCAAGUUCCCCUCGGAUCAUUCAAGUGCAGGUUGAACCAGACCCUGCAGGAGGGCCUCAGAGUCCCUGUUCUCACAAACUCUGGGGUCAACUAGGUUUUGCCCUGUGCAGAGGGAGGGGAAAAGAGACCUUUCCGUGUUGGUCUCUUCCAGCCUUUGUCGUCACAGUGGUGACUACGGUAAUGUCAGCUAACAGUUUGGAAGCCUGGCACCUUCAAUGAUGCUAUCUUAGCUGUAAGAACCACUGUUUCAGCAUCCCCUUCCCCAAAUGGGGACAUGAAGUCAGGGGACAUGUUCAGGGUCACGCUGCUGCUACUGCUAAGGGGCUCCAGCCAGCACCCAAAGCUCACAUACAGAUCCUAGAGCAGACGGAAGGGAUGUGAACAUCCAAACCUGAUCUGCUACCAUCAGAGGGUCAUGCCCAGAGCUGACUGUCCAUCUGCUCUCUGCAAGCCUGUGUCCGGCCUCCAGGGGUCCUCACUGAUGGGUACUGAUGCUGACCAAUCAGAUUCCAGUCAGGAGGAAUCUCUCAAGACCACUCCUGAGCUCCUGGCUUCGCCUAUCACAUCCUUCUGGGAACCCCAGCAUAGUGGACGGAGAACGCCCUGCGCCUGCCAGCUACGACCGCCUUCCUCUGAUGUAUGGUCCCUCACACUUGGCGGAACAUUCGAGAGGCAAAUGGUGUUGGAGACUAGGAGCCAAAGAGGAGGCAGGACCCAUCAGUGUCAAUAACAGCACAAAAGCCCUCGCACUUGUCAAGUAUGAAACCCUCGUAGGAGCUGUUGCAUCAUUUGGGUCCCAUCACCAUCCUGUUUGUGGGAAAGCCAGGUGCUUUAUGUUCACUUAUUUUCGAAGAAACUGAGGGCCGAAGGGAGGAGAGACCCCUGCUGGGCUCCCUCAGCCCAGAACUUGAACUGAUCACUCGGGCUGGGCAUCUCAUCCAGCUGUGGUGGGCAGCCUGGUGCCCACUAAUGGUUACUCAGUAGCAUCCUCCCUGCUUCCUGGGCAUUAGAUAGAACUCGCUUCCCAGCCCUCUCUGAGCUGUUCUGGGACCAAGACUUCUCCAAAGCAGUGGAUAUCCAAGUUCUAGUUCCCCUUCUGUGUUGGGAUGCAACCAACGUGAGACCCUAGGGGUGGGGGAACCAUAAGAUUGGAGAGGGCCUGGGUGCCUAGAGUCACCUACAGACCAGGCCAUCACCUUGGACAUAAACCUCUACUGUGUUUGAGCCAAUAUAACUUUGAAGAUCCAUAGCCUGGCCCACCCUGUUGUGCGUGCUCGUGUGUGUGCACACACACAGACACACACAUAUACACACGAUGUAUUUAAUCUUGUAUGUUUUGUGCAUUCAGGGCAAGGGGGAGAAAAUGAUGAAAAGCUGCCUAUCUAACAGUCCCUGCCCUCAAGGAGGAUACAAUAUAGUUGGAGAGAUGAGGCUGACAUGGGUGACAGGUGUUUAGCCAGGCUCCACUAAGUGUGAUUGAAACGAGUAAGUCUUCUGACUUAGGGAAGGCAUCUCUGAUUCUGCUGAAUAUCAGGUGCUCAGGCUUUAAGGACAGGGAGGAUUUGGUUAACAGAGUGGAGGGGCUGGGCCUUCCCGGAAGGAAGGACAGUGGAAUAAAGGCUUAUCUGCAGACACGUGCAUUCCAGGGCUUCUCUGGAUGAGCUGAAGCCCCCAGGCUGUUGUGCUAGGUCCUCCUCCUGGCCUUCAUGCAGGACAUGCCUUGAGGGUGAGGCUGCCGUGGCUGGAAGCUGGGGAGCCAGGGUGUCUUGGGCUUCGACCUCACACACCUCUUGGGGUCCUGGAUCCUUCCCAUCCCUCCAGGACAGCCAUUCCUCUGGGUGCCCAGGGCUGCAGUGGCGUGAGCUCAGUGAAGAGUCGGCUCACUCCAAGAGCUGCUCCAGACCCAGGCUUUCUGGGGGAAAUCCCUUCAUCCCUGGAGUGGAGGGCUGGCUCCAAAGCUGCUCUAAGGUGGACUUGUGUUGGUCCCCUUCUCCCUCCUGGGUCCCUCCAGCUCUAAAAUCCCAGGGUUUUCUGGAGCUAGGAAGGAGGGCCAAAACUCUUGUUCCAGGAGUUGGGUGGAUGGGAGGGAGGUUUAGAGCACCCACCUGACCUCUGACCUUGACUCCCAGGCCACCCUGGGUGGGCCUCUUUCUGGCCCUUGGGUCUCAGUUAUCCCCUGUGGGAUCCAGCUCCACAGCAGGACCAGUGGGCACUGUGUAUUAGUGGGGCAGAAGAGCACGUUAUGAUUCCCUGGCUGGUCCCCAGAGGCCUGUGCCCGGGGGUGUCUGUGCUGCUCUCAGAAGAUCCUAGAGACCCCUCCACUGUGAGGAGAAGACGAGGUCCGGGGUGGCUGGUGGUGGGCUCAGGACGGGGCUGCCUGCUGUUAUUACCUGGAAGCUGAGCUGUUGUGGUCUGCUUGUUCCCUGUCCUCUGUCUCAGACAAGCCUCUGCCAGACAGCUGUGGGGUGGCCUGUCCCCUAACCCGUAGGCUUUUUAGCAUCAGCCCUCAGAUGUGAACCCCAGGAACCCGCAUCCUCUGCUGUGCCUCUGUUGUCAUCUCUCCUCUGAGGACCGUUCCAGGCAUGCGGGCCCCUGAGCCUGGAUCCCUCCCACCCCCCAAGGACAGAGGUUGAGGCCCCAGACCAGGUGAGCUCUAGGGUAUCAGGUCCUCUGGGCUCUCUCACCUGCCUUGGGGCCCAGGGCAAACCUGGGAACCCCUUGGGCACCAGCACCAGCCGCACCACGUGAAGCAAAAAUGGAGUCCACUGCACAGGCCUGGAAGGGGAGGCCUGGCCCGGCAGACCUGGCCACGUGAAACCGCAGGGGCCCAAGUCCAUGUGAGCCAAUGGGGUUUCAAGGGAAGCUCAGUUAUGAUGAGUUGCCUGGAAGGGGAAAGGCUUCCAGGGGACCUUAUGAUCGACUUUAAAUCAGUAGUUCUUGGGGCUUCCCUGGUGGCCCAGUGGUGAAUCCAUCUGCCAAGGUAGGAGACACGGGUUUGAUCCCUGGUCCGAGAAGAUCCCACACGUCGGGGAGCAACCAGAUCUGUGCACCACAACUAUUGAGCCUGUGCUCCCGAGUCCUGGGACCGCAACUGCUGAGCCCACAUGCUGCAAGCACGGAAGCCUGUGUGCCUCAGAGCCUGUGCUCCACAGCCGGAGAGGCCACCAUAGUGAGAAGCCCACGAUCACAACCAGAUAACAGCCCUGCUUGCCACAACUAGCGACAUGCCCUCGCAGCAGCAAAGAGCCAGCACAGCCAAAAAUAAAUAAAUAAAUAGUUUUAAAAUAAUAGAUCUAAUGGUUCUCAAUCUUUGCAUAUUAGGGUCACUUUUCAAAGUUCGGAAGCCUCGGCUCUACCUGUGAAGUUUGAGUUUGUAGGCUGGGGUGGGGUCCUGGCAUCUGCUUUUGCUGGAGAUCCUGGUGCACAGCUGGGGCUGAGGGGCUUGUCCCUGGCCUCCCUCCCCGCUAAUUAAGGCACUGUGAUUCGUGGUCUCUAUACCAGGCAGGGCUCUUCUCUCCACACACCGUGGUGUGCUGUAGGGUGGCUUUCAGAAAGUCAAGUCUGUGUCCGCACGGCUAGGGAGAGAGGCCUGUCUGAACUGUAGAACAGAGAGAGGGUGGCUGGUCCCGGGGUUCUUGUCUGGUCCCUGAGUCCUUGCCUGGGCUCUGGGUAGGAUGCACAGAGGUCUGGAAUUCCCAGACUCUGCCUCCAUGAAGGGCAGCCUGUCUCCAGUGAUGCUCCUAUUCUGUCCUUCAUCAGCACAGCCUGGCUCUGAGCUGGAUCCCGCCGGCUCCCUGUGAUGACUCCCAUGAUGAGGCAUCCGGGCCCUUCACCCAAAUCCUCCGGGACCACCUGCUUCCACUUAACAAUAGCAUCUGUGAGCAAGUUGCCGCAGGAGGGCAGUUGGCCUGCUAGGGGCGAGGGCCUCAUUCUCGGCUUUGCUAACUCCACAUUGGUCCACGAGGGGGUUUUCAUCCAUGGGAAAGGGUCAACCAUCUUUCCAGGGUGCAAGGGGGCUGCUACCGUGGAGCACAAUCACUGACUUGGCUCACCCAGUGGGUGUGGCCUUCCUCUUCCCCCCCCUACAAGUGAGCAGUUCCCGAUCAGGCAGGAGCUAAUGGAGAGAAGGAUCCCGCUGCGUCCUGAGUGUCAGGAAACAAUCAGCUUCAGAGUCAACAUUUUCAUCACUGCAAGUGGAUAAUCCAAAUGCAGGGAGCCUGGGACCCCAGAUGGAGGAGCUGCCUGUCAGAGCUGAGUCAGACCAACGUUCUCCAA